RNAcentral lists this ribosomal RNA (403 nucleotides) under Verrucomicrobiota bacterium. RNAcentral describes it as "Verrucomicrobia bacterium partial 16S ribosomal RNA". It matches the Rfam family "Bacterial small subunit ribosomal RNA", at positions 355 to 776 of the family's 1533-position model. The record is from RNAcentral. Lineage: Bacteria; Pseudomonadati; Verrucomicrobiota.
UGGGGAAUAUUGCACAAUGGGGGAAACCCUGAUGCAGCGACGCCGCGUGAGCGAAGAAGGUUUUCGAAUCGUAAAGCUCUGUCCUAUGAGAAGAUAAUGACGGUAUCAUAGGAGGAAGCCCCGGCUAAAUACGUGCCAGCAGCCGCGGUAAUACGUAUGGGGCGAGCGUUGUCCGGAAUUAUUGGGCGUAAAGGGUACGUAGGCGGUCUAUUAAGUCAGGUGUGAAAGCGUGAGGCUUAACCUCAUUAAGCACUUGAAACUGAUAGACUUGAGUGAAGGAGAGGAAAGUGGAAUUCCUAGUGUAGCGGUGAAAUGCGUAGAUAUUAGGAGGAAUACCGGUGGCGAAGGCGGCUAUCUGGACAGUAACUGACGCUGAGGCGCGAAAGCGUGGGUAGCAAACAGG